This 1343-nucleotide ribosomal RNA is filed under the name uncultured bacterium. Its description in RNAcentral is "16S ribosomal RNA". It matches the Rfam family "Bacterial small subunit ribosomal RNA", at positions 28 to 1378 of the family's 1533-position model. The record is from RNAcentral.
GACGAACGCUGGCGGCGUGCUUAACACAUGCAAGUCGAACGGAAAGGCCCUGCUUUUGUGGGGUGCUCGAGUGGCGAACGGGUGAGUAACACGUGAGUAACCUGCCCUUGACUUUGGGAUAACUUCAGGAAACUGGGGCUAAUACCGGAUAGGAGCUCCUGCUGCAUGGUGGGGGUUGGAAAGUUUCGGCGGUUGGGGAUGGACUCGCGGCUUAUCAGCUUGUUGGUGGGGUAGUGGCUUACCAAGGCUUUGACGGGUAGCCGGCCUGAGAGGGUGGCCGGCCACAUUGGGACUGAGAUACGGCCCAGACUCCUACGGGAGGCAGCAGUGGGGAAUAUUGCACAAUGGGCGGAAGCCUGAUGCAGCAACGCCGCGUGCGGGAUGACGGCCUUCGGGUUGUAAACCGCUUUCGCCUGUGACGAAGCGUGAGUGACGGUAAUGGGUAAAGAAGCACCGGCUAACUACGUGCCAGCAGCCGCGGUGAUACGUAGGGUGCGAGCGUUGUCCGGAUUUAUUGGGCGUAAAGGGCUCGUAGGUGGUUGAUCGCGUCGGAAGUGUAAUCUUGGGGCUUAACCCUGAGUGUGCUUUCGAUACGGGUUGACUUGAGGAAGGUAGGGGAGAAUGGAAUUCCUGGUGGAGCGGUGGAAUGCGCAGAUAUCAGGAGGAACACCAGUGGCGAAGGCGGUUCUCUGGGCCUUUCCUGACGCUGAGGAGCGAAAGCGUGGGGAGCGAACAGGCUUAGAUACCCUGGUAGUCCACGCUGUAAACGGUGGGUACUAGGUGUGGGGUCCAUUCCACGGGUUCCGUGCCGUAGCUAACGCUUUAAGUACCCCGCCUGGGGAGUACGGCCGCAAGGCUAAAACUCAAAGGAAUUGACGGGGCCCCGCACAAGCGGCGGAGCAUGCGGAUUAAUUCGAUGCAACGCGUAGAACCUUACCUGGGUUUGACAUGGAUCGGGAGUGCUCAGAGAUGGGUGUGCCUCUUUUGGGGUCGGUUCACAGGUGGUGCAUGCCUGUCGUCAGCUCGUGUCGUGAGAUGUUGGGUUAAGUCCCGCAACGAGCGCAACCCUUGUUCACUGUUGCCAGCACGUUAUGGUGGGGACUCAGUGGAGACCGCCGGGGUCAACUCGGAGGAAGGUGGGGAUGACGUCAAGUCCUCAUGCCCCUUAUGUCCAGGGCUUCACGCAUGCUACAAUGGCUGGUACAGAGAGUGGCGAGCCUGUGAGGGUGAGCGAAUCUCGGAAAGCCGGUCUCAGUUCGGAUUGGGGUCUGUAACUCGACCUCAUGAAGUCGGAGUCGCUAGUAAUCGCAGAUCAGCAACGCUGCGGUGAAUACGUUCCCGGG